Molecule: long non-coding RNA, 1427 nt
Organism: Panicum virgatum (switchgrass)
Lineage: Eukaryota; Viridiplantae; Streptophyta; Magnoliopsida; Poales; Poaceae
Exons: 3
Source: RefSeq, a predicted model, not a curated record
UUUCCACGGGGCCAACCGUCCCGACCUCCAGGGGCCGGGCGUCACUUCCCGUCGCGAGGAAAAAGCAGCGUCGCCUUGCCUCCGCCGCCUCCGGGAGCUGCCGCCGCUCCUCCUCCGCGUCUGGGCGCCGCCACCCCUCCGCCCCUUCAUCCCCGUUGCUAGCUCCGCCUCCGCCACCCCUCUGCCGCUUGGCCUCCCCGUCGGCGCUGCAACACCAACACCCCCUCGGAGAUCUUGAUUUGCACCCGCGCCUCCAGCUCGGCCGUCUCUACCUCGUCUUCCUCCUCGGCACAUAAAUUGUUGGCUUCAAGGUCGUUAUCUCCAAGAUUCAGUUCUUGUUCACUCGGUUCAUAUCUCCUCCAGACAUUUUUGUUCUAGAUGUCUUAGGACCAAACCAGCGACGGUCUUCUUGAGGGACUCAACUGGCAGAUUUGAGUUAAAUGAUUGGGAAAAAGUGUGCCCUGUUCUUCGGUGCUUUGAUCAAAUUUUAAUUGCUCCUUUGCUGUUCACGCAUCUACUGUGCUCAAUUAUAAGUAUAGUGGUGGCUCCCUGUAAAGGUUUCCUAAGAUAUGUUAGUGAUUUAACAGAGUAUAGUUCAGUUACCAUCAAUUUUACUUGGCAGCCUUUUUUCAAUGCUGCUGCUAAUUAGAGAUUGUCUCUUGUAGAGUAUGCAGUUAGCAGCUGGCACUGGCCAGUAUGGCCAUAUCCUUUUACUAUUCUAUUUAGAUCAAGUGAUCAGCAUGAGCAUAAUCGGGGAGUUAGAGUACUAUUGUUGAUACUAUGGCUUUUCAAACAGCAAUUGCAGGGACCAUCUAAUUAAAUCAGAAUAGUGGCUUGCAACUGGUACUAGGCUACUAGCCCCAUUGUUCUCUUAGGUAUUAAUAUAUGCUCAUUUUUUUUGCUCAGGAAUUACGUAUUGGAGAAAUCAGGUAAUUACAUAUUGCUUUAAUGAGAUGCAUUAAUGAUCUCACAUGUAUAGUCCAGUUGCCAUCAAUUAUGAUUGGAAGCUACUACUAAUAAUUACAUAUUGCUUUGUCACCUAACCAAUGGUCAAAAGGAUGAUAUUUCCCCUGUUUGUUUUGUCCUUCAGUGAACAUCAUUAGAGCAUUUUAGGAUUCAGCAUACUUGGCCCGCACAAAUUAGUUUGCUUGUGGCUAUUACACUGGAGAAUUUUUUUACACCGAAACAGCUAUAUGAUGUAUUGGUUUUCAUAGAAGAUGAAUCUUGUUUUAUAUGGCUUGCGGUGGAUACAAAUCAACAUUCGAUGUGUUGUUUAUCUCCGGAUUGACAUGGUGCUCCUGGAAGGCUAUCCCAUCUCUAUGAUGGAAUUAUAUCUAUUUAACUCAUAGUUGUAUAUUGUAAUUUGAAUAUUUGUGUAAAGAUCGUGAAAUUAUUUCUCAUGUAUUUCUUGCUGUUGAUUGUGUGAA